Molecule: ribosomal RNA, 253 nt
Filed under: uncultured bacterium
Lineage: Bacteria
Description: partial 16S ribosomal RNA
Rfam family: Bacterial small subunit ribosomal RNA
Source: RNAcentral
UACGUAGGGGGCAAGCGUUGUCCGGAAUCCUUGGGCGUAAAGAGCGUGUAGGCGGCCAGAAAAGUCCGCUGUGAAAACUCGAGGCUCAACUUCGAGCUGUCGGUGGAAACUUUCUGGCUAGAGUCCGGAAGAGGAGAAUGGAAUUCCUGGUGUAGCGGUGAAAUGCGCAGAUAUCAGGAAGAACACCCGUGGCGAAGGCGGUUCUCUGGGACGGUACUGACGCUGAGACGCGAAAGCGUGGGGAGCGAACAGG